GUGUUGGUGGUAUAGUGGUGAGCAAAGCUGCCUUCCAAGCAGUUGACACAGCUCUGAUUCCUGGCCAACACA
Molecule: transfer RNA, 72 nt
Filed under: Merops nubicus (carmine bee-eater)
Lineage: Eukaryota; Metazoa; Chordata; Aves; Coraciiformes; Meropidae
Rfam family: tRNA
About the family: Transfer RNA (tRNA) molecules are approximately 80 nucleotides in length. Their secondary structure includes four short double-helical elements and three loops (D, anti-codon, and T loops). Further hydrogen bonds mediate the characteristic L-shaped molecular structure. tRNAs have two regions of fundamental functional importance: the anti-codon, which is responsible for specific mRNA codon recognition, and the 3' end, to which the tRNAs corresponding amino acid is attached (by aminoacyl-tRNA synthetases). tRNAs cope with the degeneracy of the genetic code in two manners: having more than one tRNA (with a specific anti-codon) for a particular amino acid; and 'wobble' base-pairing, i.e. permitting non-standard base-pairing at the 3rd anti-codon position.
Source: Rfam by way of RNAcentral